UUGAGAGGAUGAUAGUAAUGGAAUGAGAAUGGUCCAGACUCCUACGGGAGGCAGCAGUGGGGAAUAUUGGACAAUGGGCGAAAGCUUGAUCCAGCCUGGCCGCGUGUGAGAAAAAGGUCUUCGGAUUGUAAAGCACUUUAAGUUGGGAGGAAGGUCUGUAAGCUAAUACCUUGCAGUUUUGACGUUACCAACAGAAUAAGCACCGGCUAACUCUGUGCCAGCAGCCGCGGUAAUACAGAGGGUGCAAGCGUUAAUCGGAAUUACUGGGCGUAAAGCGCGCGUAGGUGGUUUGAUAAGUUGAAUGUGAAAGCCCCGGGCUCAACCUGGGAAUUGCAUCCAAAACUGUCUGACUAGAGUACGGUAGAGGGUGGUGGAAUUUCCUGUGUAGCGGUGAAAUGCG
Molecule: ribosomal RNA, 400 nt
Filed under: uncultured Pseudomonas sp.
Lineage: Bacteria; Pseudomonadati; Pseudomonadota; Gammaproteobacteria; Pseudomonadales; Pseudomonadaceae
Description: bacterial SSU rRNA
Rfam family: Bacterial small subunit ribosomal RNA
Source: RNAcentral